Molecule: ribosomal RNA, 396 nt
Filed under: uncultured bacterium
Lineage: Bacteria
Description: partial 16S ribosomal RNA
Rfam family: Bacterial small subunit ribosomal RNA
Source: RNAcentral
AUACGUAGGUGGCAAGCGUUGUCCGGAUUUACUGGGUGUAAAGGGCGUGCAGCCGGGACGGCAAGUCAGAUGUGAAAUCCAUGGGCUUAACCCAUGAACUGCAUUUGAAACUGUCGUUCUUGAGUACCGGAGGGGCAAUCGGAAUUCCUAGUGUAGCGGUGAAAUGCGUAGAUAUUAGGAGGAACACCAGUGGCGAAGGCGGAUUGCUGGACGGCAACUGACGGUGAGGCGCGAAAGUGUGGGGAGCAAACAGGAUUAGAUACCCUGGUAGUCCACACUGUAAACGAUGGAUACUAGGUGUGCGGGGACUGACCCCCUGCGUGCCGGCGUUAACACAAUAAGUAUCCCACCUGGGGAGUACGAUCGCAAGGUUGAAACUCAAAUGAAUUGACGGGG